GGGCUCAUAGGUAAACGGCAUACCGCAGCAUUCGCAUUGCUGAGUUCCGGGUUCAAUUCCCGGUGAGUCCA
RNAcentral lists this transfer RNA (71 nucleotides) under Candidatus Curtissbacteria bacterium RIFCSPHIGHO2_01_FULL_41_44. RNAcentral describes it as "tRNA-Ala". It matches the Rfam family "tRNA". Rfam says of the family: Transfer RNA (tRNA) molecules are approximately 80 nucleotides in length. RNAcentral also lists the same sequence under 5 other names. The record is from RNAcentral. Lineage: Bacteria; Candidatus Curtissiibacteriota.